This 1142-nucleotide ribosomal RNA is filed under the name Halomonas sp. SUBG004. RNAcentral's name for it is "bacterial LSU rRNA". It matches the Rfam family "Bacterial large subunit ribosomal RNA", at positions 1 to 1176 of the family's 2925-position model. The record is from RNAcentral. Lineage: Bacteria; Pseudomonadati; Pseudomonadota; Gammaproteobacteria; Oceanospirillales; Halomonadaceae.
GACCCCUUCGGGUUAUAGGGUCAAGCAAUGAAGCGCACACGGUGGAUGCCUAGGCAGCCAGAGGCGAUGAAAGACGUGGUAGCCUGCGAUAAGGUUCGGUGAGGUGGCAAACGACCUGUGACCCGGACAUCUCUGAAUGGGGAAACCCACUCAUCACAAGAUGAGUAUCUUGCGCUGAAUCCAUAGGCGUAAGAGGCGAACCAGGGGAACUGAAACAUCUAAGUACCCUGAGGAAAAGAAAUCAACCGAGAUUCCCCUAGUAGCGGCGAGCGAACGGGGACCAGCCCUUAAGCAUGUGACUGAUUAGGCGAAUACGCUGGGAAGCGUGGCCAUAGUGGGUGAUAGCCCCGUAGCCGAAAAUCUGAUCAUGUGAAAUCGAGUAGGUCGGGGCACGAGAAACCUUGACUGAAGACGGGGGGACCAUCCUCCAAGGCUAAAUACUCCUGGCUGACCGAUAGUGAACCAGUACCGUGAGGGAAAGGCGAAAAGAACCCCGGAGAGGGGAGUGAAAUAGAUCCUGAAACCGUGUGCGUACAAGCAGUAGGAGCCCACUUGUUGGGUGACUGCGUACCUUUUGUAUAAUGGGUCAGCGACUUAUAUUCAGUGGCGAGGUUAACCGUAUAGGGGAGCCGUAGGGAAACCGAGUCUUAACUGGGCGACACAGUCGCUGGAUAUAGACCCGAAACCGAGCGAUCUAUCCAUGAGCAGGGUGAAGGUUGAGUAACAUCAACUGGAGGCCCGAACCAGGAUCUGUUGAAAAAGAUUUGGAUGACUUGUGGAUCGGAGUGAAAGGCUAAUCAAGCUCGGAGAUAGCUGGUUCUCCUCGAAAGCUAUUUAGGUAGCGCCUCACGUAUCACCGCCGGGGGUAGAGCACUGUUUCGGCUAGGGGGUCAUCCCGACUUACCAACCCGAGGCAAACUCCGAAUACCGGUGAGUGCCAGCGUGGGAGACACACGGCGGGUGCUAACGUCCGUCGUGAAAAGGGAAACAACCCAGACCGUCAGCUAAGGUCCCCAAAUCCUGGUUAAGUGGGAAACGAUGUGGGAAGGCUCAGACAGCUAGGAGGUUGGCUUAGAAGCAGCCAUCCUUUAAAGAAAGCGUAAUAGCUCACUAGUCGAGUCGGCCUGCGCGGAAGAUGUAAC